CGACGUCACAUCAGGCAAGACAACACGCUGAGUUUAAGCAUACCACUAAGCGAAGGAAAAAAAAUCAAAGAAAUCAGCGGCGAGCGAAACGGGACCUAGCCCAGCACCGAAUGCCUAGUCCUUGCCUGCGAUCGGGAAAUGUGGUGUAUGGGAGGUAACGUUCCCGAGAGUCUCGCGGUGCUGCAUGUCCACCUGACAGGGGCUUGACCCAGAGUGGGCGCAAGGCUUGUCUCCGCCGCUGCUCUCUCUGGAUGGAACCUCCCGUGAAUCGGGUCGCUUGAGAGUGCAGCCCUAAUUGAGUGGUAAAUUCCAUCUUAGGCCGUGAGGUAAAGUUGUAAACUGCAUCAAGUACCCUCAGGGAAAGUUGAAAGGAACUUUGAAAAGAGAGUUCAAGAGUGCGUGAAACCGCAUAGAGUAAAACGGGUGGGCCCGCGAAGCUCGAGGGCGGUGGGAUUCAGUUUCGUUGUGACGUGGAGGUGUUAGCGUCUUGGUUUACGGGCUCUCCUUCUGGGGGCCCGUUCCCGCUGCCCGCGCGGAGCCGCACACUCCGGAACGCAUUUUCCACCGUCGGUAGGACGCCGCGACGGGCACGGGUACUGUAAUGGGUGAUCCACCACAAAGACAAGGAAGAAAAGAGAUGAGCAAGGAACGGCGCGGUUUUUGAAAAAGGGCUCGAGAGGAGCGCGAGCACAGCUCGGACUCGGAAGGCGAAGCUGCGAACAGCUGUUCGGACCUCCGUCCACGUGACCAGGCGUCAGAGGCCCGACUCUGUCCCCGCCUCCUCUCGUGGUCAAGGCGCCGGCCUGCCUGAGGCCGACUGGACUACCUUAGGCGCUGAAGACAACUCUAGCGACCGGGUUCAUAGACAUUUCCAGUAACGAGACACUCCGGGCUAACAACAACUGCCGCCGAGCCCAUCAACGACGCGCCCUACACCAUCCUCCUUCGGCGCUACCCCUCCAUGUGACCAGGCAAAAACACAGUGAGAGAGACAACACCUACGAUGGCAUUCUGUAAAUAGCCGCGGUGAAAAUAUUUGGUUUUUCUUUUCUUCUAAUAUCUAUGUCGCAAUACUGAAAUAUUCCGUAACGCAUCCUGCGUCUUCCGUACUUCUAUUAAUACCCUAAACACACGAACCACGUACCAUCCCAAUUGGCGUCCGCGACAGGACGGAAGACACAUUGGAUCGCUCGGAAAUAAUCAUUAAGCUAUGGAUCUCAAAGAAA
Molecule: non-coding RNA, 1226 nt
Filed under: Ixodes scapularis (black-legged tick)
Lineage: Eukaryota; Metazoa; Arthropoda; Arachnida; Ixodida; Ixodidae
Description: Eukaryotic large subunit ribosomal RNA
Rfam family: Eukaryotic large subunit ribosomal RNA
Source: Rfam by way of RNAcentral